RNAcentral lists this transfer RNA (74 nucleotides) under Gossypium hirsutum (cotton). It matches the Rfam family "tRNA". Rfam says of the family: Transfer RNA (tRNA) molecules are approximately 80 nucleotides in length. RNAcentral also lists the same sequence under 1 other name. The record is from Rfam by way of RNAcentral. Lineage: Eukaryota; Viridiplantae; Streptophyta; Magnoliopsida; Malvales; Malvaceae.
GCGGAUGUAGCCAAGUGGAUCAAGGUAGUGGAUUGUGAAUCCACCAUGCGCAGGUUCAAUUCCCGUCGUUCGCC